RNAcentral lists this unclassified non-coding RNA (444 nucleotides) under Hevea brasiliensis (rubber tree). The record is from RNAcentral. Lineage: Eukaryota; Viridiplantae; Streptophyta; Magnoliopsida; Malpighiales; Euphorbiaceae.
UUUUUUUUUUUGGUAGUUCUGUAAUAUGCAAUUUGAACAGUUUGAAGAGAUAAUUUUUAUGCUUGUGGUGAAAUAAUGCUUUAGGCUGUUUACUUGGGUAGGAAUUUUGUGUAAUUGAAAUACCCUGAUUUUAUGAGCAGUUCAGGAAUAUGAAAAUCAAAAUCUAAUACCAAAUUUGAAGCUGCAGAAUUUUUCAUUUGCUAUUUGAGGCCGUUGAUUUCAAUGUUGUCAUAGAAAUUAAAUCAAUUAUGGAUUGUAUAUAUCAGGGUUGGAGGAUCCAAAAUUUCAGGAUGGUUGUGCACAAUUUUUAUAUUAGAUUUUUCUAUGGGCCUACCAAUAAGGAAGGAUCCAUUUCCUGGAGGGUGCUUUAUGAUGCGUGCUUUAUUACUCCCUUUGCUUUAACCUGAUAAGGGUUUUUCAUGUUCUACCGCAGUGACACCUCAG